AGUUGACUGAUUUGACUUGAGAGGUAGAGAGACUCUACAGCCUGCUUCGUUCGACACUUGAGUUGAUCUGGAUUGAUAUCAGAGACUCGAGGAACUUCAUUUUUUCUGAUCUUGAGGGGCUCCAAGUUUCAGUUAGAGGAGUCUUGUCCUAGCUAAAUGCCAUUAAGACUCAGCUCUAGUCCAGACCUUCCGCAUCCAGUGAGCUCACUUUUGUCCAACCUAUCGCUUUCCAUCCCCCGACAUCUUCCACUCGAAUCAGACCUUUCAGUCAAGGUCGAGACUGAUUCUAUUUCAGUUGUUUUGAUAUUAAGCUCAAUGCCCAUCUCCCUGAUCUGAUCAUUUUGUAUUAGCAGUUUUAGGUUACAUACUACUUAGUUUUUGUACUUUAUUUAAGUGGUUAAAUGUAUGAGAGCCUUGUGCUCAUAUAUAUAUAUUAUGACUUAAUCAUUAUAAUGUAUGAAUGUACUUGACUCUUGUAACCUCUUAUUUUAUUGUAAUU
RNAcentral lists this long non-coding RNA (499 nucleotides) under Elaeis guineensis (African oil palm). Its description in RNAcentral is "long non-coding RNA (EGUI_LNC021459)". Lineage: Eukaryota; Viridiplantae; Streptophyta; Magnoliopsida; Arecales; Arecaceae. The record is from RNAcentral.